This 69-nucleotide transfer RNA is filed under the name Benthodytes marianensis. RNAcentral describes it as "tRNA-Met". Lineage: Eukaryota; Metazoa; Echinodermata; Holothuroidea; Elasipodida; Psychropotidae. The record is from RNAcentral.
GGUAAAGUAAGCUAAUUAAACUAUUGGGUUCAUACCCCAAUUAUAGAAAUUAAUUAUUUCUCUCUACUU